Amaranthus tricolor (Joseph's coat) is the source of this 148-nucleotide small nucleolar RNA. RefSeq annotates it as small nucleolar RNA snoR145. The transcript has a single exon. The record is from RefSeq and is a predicted model, not a curated record. NCBI's taxonomy places the organism in Eukaryota, Viridiplantae, Streptophyta, Magnoliopsida, Caryophyllales, Amaranthaceae.
UGGCGAAGGUCCCAGCAGGGAGGUGAGAACUCUUGAUAAAUUGAGACCUCUCUAACACAAAUCAAACCCUUCGCAAAUUUAUUGCCGAAUAAACAGAUGCCCAGAUGCUUAUUAUUUGGAUCAUCUUCGAACCCUCGGCUACACUUUA